Molecule: ribosomal RNA, 371 nt
Filed under: uncultured organism
Description: bacterial SSU rRNA
Rfam family: Bacterial small subunit ribosomal RNA
Source: RNAcentral
CGUAGGGUGCGAGCGUUAAUCGGAAUUACUGGGCGCAAAGCGUGCGCAGGCGGUUUUGUAAGACAGAUGUGAAAUCCCCGGGCUCAACCUGGGACCUGCAUUUGUGACUGCAAGGCUAGAGUACGGUAGAGGGGGAUGGAAUUCCGCGUGUAGCAGUGAAAUGCGUAGAUAUGCGGAGGAACACCGAUGGCGAAGGCAAUCCCCUGGACCUGUACUGACGCUCAUGCACGAAAGCGUGGGGGAGCAAACAGGAUUAGAUACCCUGGUAGUCCACGCCCUAAACGAUGUCAACUGGUUGUUGGGUCUUUACUGACUCAGUAACGAAGCUAACGCGUGAAGUUGACCGCCUGGGGAGUACGGCCGCAAGGUUG